CACCCCCUCAGUGAGCUCUCGACAUCAGCCCAGGUACAACAGCACCGGGCAGGAGUUCCUGGGCUCUCCUGACAAAGUGGGCAGCCCAAGCCACCCCUGGUCAUCCCCUGGCUGGGCUGGGCCCCAUGAAAGGACAAGAGACACCCAAGACACCCAGAGGCACCAAGAGUGUCCCGAGGCCCCAUCCCUGCAACAGUGUGCCAGAAAACCCUGGGAACCCGGCAGGUGUCUUCUGUCAUCUGCCAUUUAACAAGCUGACUUCAGAUACGACCUAAAAUUAAGAAUAUCCAGAUCAUUUCCCUUUGCCAUCCUCCACUUCUGUUUUGGGAAUAUCUAUCUAAUCAAAAGUGUCUGACACAUCUGCUCCUGCCUCUCUCGAUGUACAGUGUGAUAGAUGGAACAUAACUGGAGAAAAAAAGAAAGUUUCAGUUCUCCCAGCAAGUGGAAAGGUGACCUGCAAACAUUUGAACAAAAAAAGGGAAGAAAGUUUAUUUUUAUGCACUGAAUAUUCUGCACAGCAAGAGACACAGCACAUUUAGAGACUGCACAGGAGACACUUUAAACACCACCUACUCCAUAGUCCACCCCAUUAAAUUCUGUGCACAGUUUUUCUCUUGA
Non-coding RNA from Taeniopygia guttata (zebra finch), 618 nucleotides. The record is from RefSeq and is a predicted model, not a curated record. NCBI's taxonomy places the organism in Eukaryota, Metazoa, Chordata, Aves, Passeriformes, Estrildidae.